RNAcentral lists this unclassified non-coding RNA (275 nucleotides) under fungal sp. Its description in RNAcentral is "partial internal transcribed spacer region". The stretch from base 1 to 46 matches the Rfam family "Eukaryotic small subunit ribosomal RNA", at positions 1786 to 1831 of the family's 1831-position model. The record is from RNAcentral. Lineage: Eukaryota; Fungi.
AAGUCGUAACAAGGUUUCCGUAGGUGAACCUGCGGAAGGAUCAUUAGAGAAAUUGUACCAAAACAAUAUGGACAAUCCAUCCAUAUUAUCCCACCUUGUGUGCAUCCAUUGAAAACAUGCUUUGGGAGGUUUCUCUCACUUUGGAGGAGAGGAACUUUAAGCCUCCCAAGGUUUUUUUCCCUUUGUACACCUUUCUUGUUUCUCCUGAAAAAAAUAAAAAAUAAAACGAAAUAAAAAAAAAAUUACAACUUUCAACAACGGAUCUCUUGGCUCUC